This is a long non-coding RNA of Acyrthosiphon pisum (pea aphid), 1126 nucleotides long. RefSeq lists it as uncharacterized. Lineage: Eukaryota; Metazoa; Arthropoda; Insecta; Hemiptera; Aphididae. The record is from RefSeq and is a predicted model, not a curated record. The transcript has 2 exons.
AUUAGAAAAAAAGAUUAAAACAAAAAAAAUACAGUUUCAAGUGAAAAAUAGUUUAAAAUGACUUUCCUGAAAAUUUUGAUAUUUUGAGAUAUUCUUUAUUGGUUCUCAGCCCACGAAUUCGGUUAAUGGAAAAACCAGCAAUUCCAGCGUAUUGCGAUGAACGCAUCAUGAAUUUAUCAGAUAAUAACUUUAAUUGGCUUAAUUUAAUGUAACUGGUCCCGAAAAAAUAGAUGAGUGAUUUUUAUUUAUGCCAAAUUUUACAGUAUUCUUCCUUACUUCUUUUGCCAACAUUAUAAAAUAUUUAUGAGAAUCCUUCUUUGCAUUUUCAAUCUUUAGCUAUAAAAGUAUAAUAUAUUUUAAUGAACUUUUAACUACUAAAUAGCUUGUAAAUUUUCAAUUUGAUAAAUUUUGUCAACAUUUGAACUUUAAAAGUUUAGAUAUACAAAAACGUCGUACCUAUGGAUCUCAUUAUUUCUCAACUGUUAUUAUAUAACUACUUAUGAGGAACCUUGUCUUAAAUUUUCAUAGCAUGGAUAUAUAAAGACAUUUUUGAAUGUUUAAAAUCAUUAAAAAUAAUUCAUUAGAAAAAAGAAUUUAAAAAAAAGAUAAGACAGUUUCAUGUGGAAAAUAGUUUAAAAUGGCUUUCCUGAAAAUGUUUAUACUUUGAGAUAUUCUCUUUUGAUUCUGAGCCCACGAAUUUGGUUAGUUGAAAAACCAACAAUAUCAGCAUAUUGCGAUGAAAACAUCAUGAUUUAUUUGAAACAUCAGAUAAUAACUUUUACUGGCUUAAUAUAAUGUAACUGGACACGGAAAAAUAGAUGAUCGAUUUUUUAUUUAUGCCGAAUUUUACCGUAUUUUUUCUUAUAUUUUUGCCAACAUAGUUUACCUGCUAAAGAAAAUAGUAGUAGACACAUAGACGUAUUUUAAUAUUAGGUGUCAUACUUCAAUUUCUCUCAGCUUGGCGGAUCAUAUGAAUUCCUUGCAAUGGGCUGAAGUCAGGAAUUAUUACAAUAAUUUAAGUACGUAUUAUAUUUUUAUAAUUUAGGUGUUUGGAAAAAUGUUAGUAAUUGGGAGAAUACUUGUUCAAACUUCACAUAUUUCAGUGGUUUUAUACAAAGUACAUUCG